GCCACAUUCUCCCGGCCGUCUGGGGUGGGGGCAAUUCAGCCUUUCUCUUUGACAGGUGACAGUGGAAGGUCCCUCUUGACAGGUGAGCCUCAGCUUACUUGUGUGUAAAAGGCGAGGCAUUGCACUCAUCUUGAGGUGUUGAGGUGAGGAUCGGAGACUUCUGUCAACGGGAGGGGCCCUGGCACUGAGCACCACUGGCUGCUACUGGAG
Molecule: long non-coding RNA, 210 nt
Filed under: Ictidomys tridecemlineatus (thirteen-lined ground squirrel)
Lineage: Eukaryota; Metazoa; Chordata; Mammalia; Rodentia; Sciuridae
Description: lncRNA (ENSSTOG00000034033.1)
Source: RNAcentral